AACCUUUCUCGGCCUUUUGGAUAAGAUUAAGUGUAGUAUGUAUUCUUAUUAGUCUAAUAUAUGAUAUAUGGGUCAUCGACCCAUACAAUAUUUAAUUACUUUUUUAAAUGGGAGAGGCCAUUAUAGUAGCUUGCUAUUGGGUCUCUCAUGUGUGGCCUUAGUGUUGCACUAAAGCUUGGGCCAGACACACCCU
Molecule: small nuclear RNA, 193 nt
Organism: Lupinus angustifolius (narrow-leaved blue lupine)
Lineage: Eukaryota; Viridiplantae; Streptophyta; Magnoliopsida; Fabales; Fabaceae
Rfam family: U2 spliceosomal RNA
About the family: U2 is a small nuclear RNA (snRNA) component of the spliceosome (involved in pre-mRNA splicing).
Source: Rfam